Molecule: ribosomal RNA, 486 nt
Filed under: uncultured bacterium
Lineage: Bacteria
Description: partial 16S ribosomal RNA
Rfam family: Bacterial small subunit ribosomal RNA
Source: RNAcentral
AUUGAACGCUGGCGGCAUGCCUUACACAUGCAAGUCGAACGGCAGCACGGGUGCUUGCACCUGGUGGCGAGUGGCGAACGGGUGAGUAAUACAUCGGAACAUGUCCUGUAGUGGGGGAUAGCCCGGCGAAAGCCGGAUUAAUACCGCAUACGAUCUACGGAUGAAAGCGGGGGACCUUCGGGCCUCGCGCUAUAGGGUUGGCCGAUGGCUGAUUAGCUAGUUGGUGGGGUAAAGGCCUACCAAGGCGACGAUCAGUAGCUGGUGUGAGAGGACGACCAGCCACACGGGGACUGGGCCACGGCCCAGACUCCUACGGGAGGCAGCAGUGGGGAAUUUUGGACAAUGGGCGAAAGCCUGAUCCAGCAAUGCCGCGUGUGUGAAGAAGGCCUUCGGGUUGUAAAGCACUUUUGUCCGGAAAGAAAUCCUUGGCCCUAAUACGGUCGGGGGAUGACGGUACCGGAAGAAUAAGCACCGGCUAACUACGUG